GUGCUAACUUCCGCAGCACGUAUACUAAAAGUGGAACAAAACAGAGAAGAUUAGCAUGGUCCUUGUGCAAAGAUAACAGGCUGAUUCAUGAAGCGUUCCAUAUUUUU
This is a small nuclear RNA of Myotis lucifugus (little brown bat), 107 nucleotides long. NCBI's taxonomy places the organism in Eukaryota, Metazoa, Chordata, Mammalia, Chiroptera, Vespertilionidae. The record is from Ensembl.